Molecule: signal recognition particle RNA, 292 nt
Filed under: Saimiri boliviensis boliviensis (Bolivian squirrel monkey)
Lineage: Eukaryota; Metazoa; Chordata; Mammalia; Primates; Cebidae
Description: Metazoan signal recognition particle RNA (ENSSBOG00000002050.1)
Rfam family: Metazoan signal recognition particle RNA
About the family: The signal recognition particle (SRP) is a universally conserved ribonucleoprotein. It is involved in the co-translational targeting of proteins to membranes. The eukaryotic SRP consists of a 300-nucleotide 7S RNA and six proteins: SRPs 72, 68, 54, 19, 14, and 9.
Source: RNAcentral
GCCAGGUGUGGUGGCGCAGGCCUGUAGUCCCAGCUACUCAGGAGUCCGAGUGGGGAGGAUGACUUGAGCCCGGGAGGUCCGGUGCUCUGCGCUGAUUGUCCGAUACACUACACUCAGCAUCCACACAGCGACCUCCCAGGAGUGGGAGACCCCAGGUCACUUAAUAAGAGUGAACUGGUCCAGGCUGGAAAUGGAGGAGGUCAAAACUCCUGUGCUGAUUAGUAGUGGGAUCAUGCCCGUGAAUAGCCACCACACUCCAGCCUGGGCAACCUCGCGAGUGAGUCCCCCAUCU